This 26-nucleotide non-coding RNA is filed under the name Gallus gallus (chicken). RNAcentral also lists the same sequence under 4 other names. Lineage: Eukaryota; Metazoa; Chordata; Aves; Galliformes; Phasianidae. The record is from RNAcentral.
UCUCGCCUGCCACGCGGGAGGCCCGG